GAUGAACGCUAGCGGCAGGCUUAACACAUGCAAGUCGAACGGCAGCACAGGUAGCAAUACUGGGUGGCGAGUGGCGCACGGGUGCGUAACGCGUAUGCAACCUACCUCUUACAGUGGGAUAGCCCAGAGAAAUUUGGAUUAAUACCGCAUAGUAUACAGAUUCAGCAUUGGGACUGUAUUAAACAUUUAUGGGUAAGAGAUGGGCAUGCGUUCUAUUAGUUAGUUGGAGUGGUAACGGCACCCCAAGACAGCGAUAGAUAGGGGCCCUGAGAGGGGGAUCCCCCACACUGGUACUGAGACACGGACCAGACUCCUACGGGAGGCAGCAGUGAGGAAUAUUGCGCAAUGGGCGAAAGCCUGACGCAGCCACGCCGCGUGAGCGAUGAAGGCCCUUGGGUCGUAAAGCUCUGUGGGGGAGAAGAAAAAGCCGGUGAAGAGCCGGCCCUGACGGUAUCCCCUUAGCAAGCACCGGCUAACUCCGUGCCAG
This 487-nucleotide ribosomal RNA is filed under the name uncultured bacterium. RNAcentral describes it as "bacterial SSU rRNA". It matches the Rfam family "Bacterial small subunit ribosomal RNA", at positions 28 to 511 of the family's 1533-position model. The record is from RNAcentral.